GAUGAACGCUGGCGGUGUGCCUAAUACAUGCAAGUCGUACGCAUUCUCGUUUCUGAUUGACGGUGCUUGCACCUAAUUGACGAGACAUUGGAAUGAGUGGCGGACGGGUGAGUAACACGUGGGUAACCUGCCCAGAAGUGGGGGAUAACAUUUGGAAACAGAUGCUAAUACCGCAUAAAAGUCAAAACCACAUGGUUUUGAUUUAAAAGAUGGCCUUUGUGCUAUCACUUCUGGAUGGACCCGCGGCGUAUUAGCGAGUUGGUAAGGUAACGGCUUACCAAGGCAAUGAUACGUAGCCGAACUGAGAGGUUGAUCGGCCACAAUGGGACUGAGACACGGCCCAUACUCCUACGGGAGGCAGCAGUAGGGAAUCUUCCACAAUGGGCGCAAGCCUGAUGGAGCAACACCGCGUGAGUGAAGAAGGGUUUCGGCUCGUAAAACUCUGUUGUUAAAGAAGAACGUAUCUAAGAGUAACUGCUUAGGUAGUGACGGUAUUUAACCAGAAAGCCACGGCUAACUACGUGCCAGCCGCCGCGUAA
RNAcentral lists this ribosomal RNA (539 nucleotides) under uncultured bacterium. Its description in RNAcentral is "partial 16S ribosomal RNA". It matches the Rfam family "Bacterial small subunit ribosomal RNA", at positions 28 to 522 of the family's 1533-position model. The record is from RNAcentral.